This is a long non-coding RNA of Phascolarctos cinereus (koala), 1364 nucleotides long. RefSeq lists it as uncharacterized. The record is from RefSeq and is a predicted model, not a curated record. Lineage: Eukaryota; Metazoa; Chordata; Mammalia; Diprotodontia; Phascolarctidae.
CACACGCACACACACACAACACAGAGACACGUGCCUGUUUGUUUCCAUUUGUGUUUCUGGAUUUUUAGCAGGUUUCCUGUGUCAAAGCAAAGACCCACAGGUGGAGGACGGGGGAAGGGCAACUGCUGCCUGGGCAGAGAAGGAAACGGCUCCCUGGAGUGCGGUCUUGGGAGAAACAAACACACACACACACACACACACACACACACACACACACACACACACACACACACGGCCAUCACGACCCUCAAAUCCCUAAGGCAACGACUGGGGACCUCAGGCCAUCUCUCAACUUCUCCCCCUUCCGUGGCAUUCAGAGUAUUCUGAGCAGUGGAGUCCAAAGGUAUCACCAGAUUGCCAAAGGAGCUUUUCUUGGCUCACCAAAUUAAAUGAUCUACAACAUGAAGGACAAAUCAUCUUCAAAAGAUGGGGAGGCAGUCUAUGAAUGUGGAACACCAGAGAAACUAGAAACAAGAACAAACCAGAGCUUGUUCCUGUGACAGUAGACAAAGUCUUUUUGGAUGACCUUGGUCCAAGAAGUAUUUUCUGACCUGAUGGCACUCCAGAGAACUUUGGAUGGAACGUGUAACAAAGUUAUUGGAAGAUAAGCUCUUUGCAAAUGUUGUAAUCUACCUUCAGAUGGGAAACAAAUAUGGUGAAAAGAGAACUGAAGUUGAAAAUAAAAGAAGAGAUUACAUAAGAUAUACGAAUUAUAUCCCAUUAAUCUAGAUUUGAUCACUGACCUAUGAUAUCUGUGGGGAAUUUGGGAGAGUGUUAAGUGCAAGAAGACCAGAAGCUCACAAAUAUUAUCUUAAUUUGCAAAAAGGGGAACAAUGUGGAUUCUGUGUACUGCAGAGCAAUGAACUUCAACCAGAUCCCUGGCAAAGCUCAGGAGUGGAUUAUUUAACGAAAAGUUUAUGACCACUUAGAAAAGGAAAUCUGACAGUCAUGAACUAAUUUAUGUUUACUAAAAACAAGGCAUUCUUGAAUAACCUUGUUGACAGAGAUUAUGAGAGGAUUGUAGAAAAAAAAGACAUCACUCUUUAUUACAUAACUGCCUGUACUUUUCCUUAACCUUCAUGGAUAUUCCUGUCUUGCCUCACCAUACAGAUUGUCAGCUUCUUGAGGGCAGUGAUAUUUUUUCACCCAUCAUCAUCAUCAUCAUCAUCAUCAUCAUCAUCAUCAUCAUCGUCAUCAUCAUUGUUGUUGUUGUUAUUGUAAUAUGGGCUGGUGAACAUGUACAAUGUGCAUAGUUGAUGGAUUCUCUUUUUGGAAAGGGCUGACGAAUCUGCUUCCAGAAAUGUUCAGUUGUUUCAGUCAUGUCCAAUUCUUUGUGACCAUGUUUGGAGUUUUCUUGACAAUGA